RNAcentral lists this transfer RNA (73 nucleotides) under Ailuropoda melanoleuca (giant panda). It matches the Rfam family "tRNA". From Rfam's summary of the family: Transfer RNA (tRNA) molecules are approximately 80 nucleotides in length. Their secondary structure includes four short double-helical elements and three loops (D, anti-codon, and T loops). Further hydrogen bonds mediate the characteristic L-shaped molecular structure. tRNAs have two regions of fundamental functional importance: the anti-codon, which is responsible for specific mRNA codon recognition, and the 3' end, to which the tRNAs corresponding amino acid is attached (by aminoacyl-tRNA synthetases). tRNAs cope with the degeneracy of the genetic code in two manners: having more than one tRNA (with a specific anti-codon) for a particular amino acid; and 'wobble' base-pairing, i.e. permitting non-standard base-pairing at the 3rd anti-codon position. The record is from Rfam by way of RNAcentral. Lineage: Eukaryota; Metazoa; Chordata; Mammalia; Carnivora; Ursidae.
GCCUGGCUGGCUCAACUGGAAGAGCAUCUGACUCUUGAUCUCUGGGUUGUGAGUUCAAGUCUUAUGUUGGGUG